CCACAACGUUAGUUCUCUCUCUUUGUUCAGCGAACUUUUGUGUGGUGGAAGUUGCAACAUGUCCUCUUCAGAAAGUUGCUUUGUGAUUGCAGGCGUAGUCUCCAGUCUACUUCACGAUGGGAGUGCUGAAGCACGUGGCUUCGGAUGAUUUGCGCCAUAGGCGUUUGUAGCCCACUUGUUGAACGUCUGUAUUCGAUGCAUCAAUUAUAAAUCGCAGUAAACGCGAUGAAGAGUUCAGUUGGCGAUUUCACAGAUGGUAAGAAUGAAGUUCCCAACUGCAAAAAUGUGGUGGCCUCCUAAGAGAUGCGAGAAGACCGAAGUCCUUUUGGUGGUAUACGUUUUGGAAUAUGAUCUCUGGCUUCUGCAUGGAUGUUAAUGUGCAAAUGUAACUUUGAAACUUUUUAAAUGGUGUUAGAGUUUUGAAUGCAUUUCUGUUUGGAUGGAUGUCUUCAAUAAAAGUGUGAAUAAACCUUAACUUGUGGUGUGCAUGGCUAUCAGGUCACUAUUGUUUGAU
This is a long non-coding RNA of Sinocyclocheilus grahami, 514 nucleotides long. Ensembl lists it as uncharacterized. The record is from Ensembl. Lineage: Eukaryota; Metazoa; Chordata; Actinopteri; Cypriniformes; Cyprinidae.